This is a long non-coding RNA of Sebastes umbrosus (honeycomb rockfish), 788 nucleotides long. RefSeq lists it as uncharacterized. Lineage: Eukaryota; Metazoa; Chordata; Actinopteri; Perciformes; Sebastidae. The record is from RefSeq and is a predicted model, not a curated record. The transcript is spliced from 3 exons.
CCGGAGGGUCCGGGGGGCCCGCGGACUCCGGCGUAUCCUGGACGUCCGGGGGGACCGCGAGGUCCGCCGGAGCCCGGAGGACCGGUGGAUCCUGUCCUGCUUUCUCCUGGUGGACCUGGAGGGGACAGAGUUGGAGAGAUGGACGGUGUCGUACCUCUCUCUCCCUGCUGGCCUUGUGAACCUGGAGUUCCGGGGAAACCGUUCCUUCCCGCGGCGCCGGGCUCUCCGCGGGGUCCCUGCCUGCCGCUGGUUCCGGGCGGCCCAGCAGGGCCCGGGCUGUUGCUGCGCUGCAUGCCGUUGGGGAUCUGGUUCAGUAACGUGUUGACGCGAGUCAUUUGUGCUGCAACAUAAGAGGAGGAACCAGAGAGAACACUUCUCGUGUGUUGAACUCCGAUGUGAGCUCCGUUUCUCUGUGAUGAAUUAUCUGACGUUUGGAUUUAAUAAAGAUUAUUUUCUCAAAAUGUGAUGUCUUUGUUUUUUCUUGCUCUUUCAAGUCGUCAGGAACAUUUAGUCCACUAAAGAACACGGAGUCCUAACUUAACGAGGAGUCCCUCAAUCAUAUUUACUUAAAUUAAAUCAAGACAAUCUUCCAAAUCUUGUUUUAAAAUAUUAAAAUGUAUUUCUAUAAUAUUCCUUAAACAUGGGAAACUGAGAUGUCGUUGCUUCACUGCUGUUUUGUGAGAACAGUUGAGGCUUUGAAGAUAUUUAAAUGACUUGUUAGGAAGUUCAAUCUUUAGAUAAUUAACUCACUUUGGACUAAAACGAGAAGUUCUUAUAAACUCAGAUCU